UUGGAAUGCCUUCAAACACUCUCUUGUUAUGGUUGUUCGAAGAUGAAGAGUUUUCCGGAAAUCAAGGGUAAUAUGGGAAGUCUAAGAGAACUUGAUUUAAGUGAAACAGAUAUAAUAGAAGUACCAUCAUCAAUCAGGCAUCUACAUGGGCUUAAAACCUUGAAGUUAAGUGAUUGCUUAAACCUUGUGAGUCUUCAGGUCGGUAUUUGUAGUUUGAGCUCUCUUCAAACUCUUUUGAUGGAUGGGAGUUUAGAACUAAAGGCCUUUCUAGAUAUCAAUAUUGGAAGUCUAAAAGCCCUUGAAUGGUUAGAUUUGUCAUAUUGCGAAAACCUUGAGAGUCUUCCGGAUAGUAUUUGUAGUUUGACCUCUCUUCAAACUCUUUUGCUGAAUGGGUGUUCAAAACUGAAAGCCUUUCCAUACAUCAAUAUUGGAAGCCUCAAAGCUCUUGAAUUGUUAGCUUUGUCAUAUUGCGAAAACCUUGAGAGUCUUCCGGACAGUAUUUGUAAUUUGACAUCUCUUCAAACUCUCAUGUUAAAAGAGUGUUCAAAAUUGAAGGGCUUUCCAGAUAUCAAUAUUGGAAGUCUAAAAGCUCUUAAAUUGUUAGAUUUGUCAUAUUGCGAAAACCUGACAGUAUUUGUAGUUUGACCUCUCUUCAAACUCUUUUGCUGAAUGGGUGUUCAAAAUUGAAGGCUUUUCCGGAUAUUAAUAUUGCAAAUCUAAAAGCUCUUGAAUUGUUAGAUUUUUCAUAUUGUGAAAACUUUGGGAGUCUUCCAGAUAGGAUUUGUAGCUUAACCUCUCUUCAAACUCUUUUGUUGAAAAAGUGUUCAAAAUUGAAGGCCUUUCCAGAUAUCAAUAUUGGAAGUCUAAAAGCUCUUAAAUUGUUAGAUUUGUCAUAUUGCGAAAACCUUAAGAGUCUUCCAGACAGUAUUUGUAGUUUGACCUCUCUUCAAACUCUUUUUUUGAAUGGGUGUUCAAAAUUGAAGGCCUUUCCAGAUAUCAAUAUUGGAAGUCUAAAAGCUCUUGAAUUGUUAGAUUUGUCAUAUUGCAAAAACCUUGAGAGUCUUCCGCAUAGUAUUUGUAGUUUGACCUCUCUCCAAACACUUUUGUUGAAUGGGUGUUCAAAACUGAAGGCCUUUCCAGAUAUCAAUAUUGGAAGUCUAAAAGCUCUUAAAUUGUUAGAUUUGUCUUAUUGCAUAUACCUUGAGAGUCUUCCGCACAGUAUUUGUAGUUUGACCUCUCUUCAAACUCUUUUGUUGAAUGGGUGUUCAAAAUUGAAGGCCUUUCCAUGUAUCAAUAUUGGAAGUCUAAAAGCUCUUAAAUUGUUAAAUUUGUCAUAUUGCGAAAACCUUGAGAGUCUUCCGGAUAGUAUUUGUAAUUUGACCUCUCUUCAAACUCUUUUGCUGAAUGGGUGUUCAAAACUGAAGGCCUUUCCAGAUAUCAAUAUUGGAUGUCUAAAAGCCCUUGAAUUGUUAGACUUCUCAUAUUGCAAAAACCUUGAGAGUCUUCCGCACAGUAUUUGUAGUUUGACCUCUCUUCAAACUCUUUUGCUGAAUGGGUGUUCAAAACUAAAGGCUUUUCCAGAUAUCAAUGUUGGAAGUCUAAAAGUUCUAGAAUUGUUAGAUUUGUCAUAUUGCGAAAGCCUUGAGAGUUUUCCGGACAGUAUUUGUAGUUUGACCUCUCUUCAAACUCUUUGGCUGAAUGGGUGUUCAAAACUGAAGGUCUUUCCAGAUGUCAAUAUUGGAAGUCUAAAAGCUCUUGAAUUGUUAGAUUUGUCAUGUUGUAAAAAGCUUGAGAGUCUUCCGAUGAGCAUUUGCAAUUUGAGCUCUCUCAAAACUCUGCGGAUUAAAGAUUGUCCAAAACUCAAGGGAAUAUUAAAGAUGAACCUAGGGGUUGAUUUAUGCUCCUCGAGAUCUUUGAAUCUGACUUGUCACAUUUCAAAUUCAGGAGUAAUCUGGGAUAAUGACUGCUUUUCCUCAUUAAAAGCAUUAAAUCCAUGGUGCCCCCUGUCAUCACUGGUAGAAUUAUCUGUAAGAAACUCUAAUCUCAUGGAACGAGACAUCCUCAGUGCUAGUUUUCGCUUAUCCUCAAUGCAAAUAUUAUCUCUAAGGAACUUCCCUUUGAUGGUAGGAGGAAUCCUUGAUGACAUUUUCCAUCUAUCUUCAUUGGUAGAAUUAUCUCUUAGUGAAUGCAAUCUGAUGGAAGUAGGAACCCUCCAUUAUGUUUGGAACCUAUCUUCACUGCUAAGAUUAUAUCUAAGAAACUGUAAUCUAAUGGAAGGAGAGAUCCCCAAUCAUAUUUGGCACCUAUCAUCAUUG
This 2315-nucleotide long non-coding RNA is filed under the name Vitis vinifera (wine grape). RNAcentral describes it as "long non-coding RNA (VVIN_LNC006293)". The record is from RNAcentral. Lineage: Eukaryota; Viridiplantae; Streptophyta; Magnoliopsida; Vitales; Vitaceae.